GGAGUGAUACCCAAGUGGUGAAGGGGACGGUUUGCUAAACCGUUAGCGGGCUUUUGCCCGGCGAGGGUUCGAAUCCCUCUCACUCCA
RNAcentral lists this transfer RNA (87 nucleotides) under Brockia lithotrophica. It matches the Rfam family "tRNA". Rfam says of the family: Transfer RNA (tRNA) molecules are approximately 80 nucleotides in length. Their secondary structure includes four short double-helical elements and three loops (D, anti-codon, and T loops). Lineage: Bacteria; Bacillati; Bacillota; Bacilli; Thermicanales; Thermicanaceae. The record is from Rfam by way of RNAcentral.